This 71-nucleotide transfer RNA is filed under the name Phoronopsis harmeri. Its description in RNAcentral is "tRNA-Asp". The record is from RNAcentral. Lineage: Eukaryota; Metazoa; Phoronida; Phoronidae.
GAAAGGUUAGUUAAAGUUUAUUAUAACAUAAGAUUGUCAUUCUUAAAUUAUUCAAUCUCGAAUACUUUUCU